This 69-nucleotide transfer RNA is filed under the name Bos taurus (domestic cattle). It matches the Rfam family "tRNA". Rfam says of the family: Transfer RNA (tRNA) molecules are approximately 80 nucleotides in length. Their secondary structure includes four short double-helical elements and three loops (D, anti-codon, and T loops). Lineage: Eukaryota; Metazoa; Chordata; Mammalia; Artiodactyla; Bovidae. RNAcentral also lists the same sequence under 5 other names. The record is from Rfam by way of RNAcentral.
CCUGGUAGCUCAGCUGGUAAAGAAUCUGCCUGCAGUGCAGAAGACCCUGGUUCAAUUCCUGGGUCAGGA